This 879-nucleotide ribosomal RNA is filed under the name uncultured bacterium. RNAcentral describes it as "bacterial SSU rRNA". It matches the Rfam family "Bacterial small subunit ribosomal RNA", at positions 8 to 916 of the family's 1533-position model. The record is from RNAcentral.
AGAGUUUGAUCCUGGCUCAGGAUGAACGCUGGCGGCGUGCCUAACACAUGCAAGUCGAGCGAUCUUCUUCGGAAGAGAGCGGCGGACGGGUGAGUAACGCGUGGGUAACCUGCCCUGUACACACGGAUAACAUACCGAAAGGUAUGCUAAUACGAGAUAAUAUGCUUUUAUCGCAUGGUAGAAGUAUCAAAGCUUUUGCGGUACAGGAUGGACCCGCGUCUGAUUAGCUAGUUGGUAAGGUAACGGCUUACCAAGGCGACGAUCAGUAGCCGACCUGAGAGGGUGAUCGGCCACAUUGGAACUGAGACACGGUCCAAACUCCUACGGGAGGCAGCAGUGGGGAAUAUUGCACAAUGGGCGAAAGCCUGAUGCAGCAACGCCGCGUGAGCGAUGAAGGCCUUCGGGUCGUAAAGCUCUGUCCUCAAGGAAGAUAAUGACGGUACUUGAGGAGGAAGCCCCGGCUAACUACGUGCCAGCAGCCGCGGUAAUACGUAGGGGGCUAGCGUUAUCCGAAUUUACUGGACGUAAAGGGUGCGUAGGUGGUUUCUUAAGUCAGGAGUGAAAGGCUACGGCUCAACCGUAGUAAGCUCUUGAAACUGGGAAACUUGAGUGCAGGAGAGGAAAGUGGAAUUCCUAGUGUAGCGGUGAAAUGCGUAGAUAUUAGGAGGAACACCAGUAGCGAAGGCGGCUUUCUGGACUGUAACUGACACUGAGGCACGAAAGCGUGGGGAGCAAACAGGAUUAGAUACCCUGGUAGUCCACGCCGUAAACGAUGAGUACUAGGUGUCGGGGGUUACCCCCCUCGGUGCCGCAGCUAACGCAUUAAGUACUCCGCCUGGGGAGUACGCUCGCAAGAGUGAAACUCAAAUGAAUUGACGG